Long non-coding RNA from Helianthus annuus (common sunflower), 569 nucleotides. RefSeq lists it as uncharacterized. Lineage: Eukaryota; Viridiplantae; Streptophyta; Magnoliopsida; Asterales; Asteraceae. The transcript has 3 exons. The record is from RefSeq and is a predicted model, not a curated record.
UGUCUCGACACCACAGCACCCGUCGAACAUAGUUUCACUUUCGCCGUGUCGGAAACUCACCGGAGUUACGUGAGGUGGGCACGACAGGAAAUCUUGCAUCAUCGAGCACCGGAGAAACCGGAAGUCACCGGAGUUCGAGGAACUCGCGGAUAUCCCGACUCGUUUCCUUCAUCAAAUCCAAGCAUUUCGCCGGAGAUCGGAGUUCACGUACAGUUCGAACCGGAGUAACAUACGUCGCCGGGACAACAAACUCGUUGCCGGAUGAUCGGAUCUUUGCGGCCUCCUCCUCUCGUUCGGAUAAUCGCUUACGUUCGUUCUCUUGCAAUCUCUUGGAUAAUCUCAAACCUUUCUACUCUUCCUCAUUUACCAAGAAAACGCAACGCAAGCAAAGGUGAGUAUACUCGAUCCCAUUUUCGUUUUAAACACAUUUGGGUGCCACAUGUAUUCCGUAUUCAAAUUACACAACACUUGAGUCUUGUUUUUAAGCACACUCUAUCCGCAUUUAAACAUGAAACAAUUUGAUGCUUGUUAAUCUCUUAUGCUAUGUAUGUUGAACGUGUUAAUCUCAA